AGGGUUUGAUCCUGGCUCAGAAUGAACGUUGGCGGCGUGGAUUAGGCAUGCAAGUCGUGCGACAGGCCCGCAAGGGCGCUGAGCGGCGAAAGGGAGAGUAACGCGUAGGUUAUCUACCCUCAGGACCGGAAUAGCUACGGGAAACUGUAGGUAAUACCGGAUGAUGUCUCCGGACUAAAGGUGUGAUUCCGCCUGUGGAGGAGCCUGCGUCCUAUUAGCUAGUUGGUGGGGUAACGGCCUACCAAGGCUGAGAUGGGUACGGGGUAUGAGAGUAUGCCCCCGCUCACUGGGACUGAGACACUGCCCAGACACCUACGGGUGGCUGCAGUCGAGGAUCUUCGGCAAUGGGCGCAAGCCUGACCGAGCGACGCCGCGUGUGGGAUGAAGGCCUUCGGGUUGUAAACCACUGUCAGUGGGGAGGAAAUACUAUAGGGUUCUCUCUAUAGUUUGACCUAUCCGCAGAGGAAGUACGGGCUAAGUUCGUGCCAGCAGCCGGGUAAGACGAACCGUACAAACGUUAUUCGGAAUCACUGGGCUUAAAGGGUGCGUAGGCUGUCCUGUAAGUUGGGUGUGAAAGCCCUCGGCUCAACCGAGGAAUUGCGCUCAAUACUGCAGGACUUGAGGAAGACAGAGGUGAGCGGAACUUAGGGUGGAGCGGUGAAAUGCGUUGAUAUCCUAAGGAACACCUGGGGCGAAAGCGGCUCACUGGGUCUUCUCUGACGCUGAGGCACGAAAGCUAGGGUAGCGAACGGGAUUAGAUACCCCGGUAGUCCUAGCCGUAAACGAUGAGCACUAGAUCGAAGGGUCCUCCAUAGCCUUUUGGUCGUAGCGAAAGUGUUAAGUGCUCCGCCUGGGGAGUAUGGUCGCAAGGCUGAAACUCAAAAGAAUUGACGGGGGCUCACACAAGCGGUGGAGGAUGUGGCUUAAUUCGAGGCUACGCGAAGAACCUUAUCCUAGUCUUGACAUGCACGGAUUAACUCCCUGAAAGGGGAGCCACGCCCGCAAGGGUGGAACGUGCACAGGUGCUGCAUGGCUGUCGUCAGCUCGUGUCGUGAGAUGUCGGGUUAAGUCCCUUAACGAGCGAAACCCUUGUCGUUAGUUGCCAGCGAGUCAUGUCGGGGACUCUAGCGAGACUGCCGGUGUUAAACCGGAGGAAGGCGGGGAUGACGUCAAGUCCUCAUGGCCUUUAUGACUAGGGCUGCACACGUCCUACAAUGGCGCGUACAAAGGGAAGCAAACCUGCGAGGGCAAGCAAAUCCCAAAAAGCGCGCCUCAGUUCGGAUUGCAGGCUGCAACCCGCCUGCAUGAAGCUGGAAUCGCUAGUAAUCGCGGGUCAGCAUACCGCGGUGAAUGUGUCCCUGAGCCUUGUACACACCGCCCGUCAAGCCACGAAGGUGGGGGGCAUCCGAAGUCGCCGUGGUAACCCGCAAGGGAACUAAGCGCCGAAGAUGAACUCCGCGAUUGGGACUAAGUCGUAACAAGGUA
RNAcentral lists this ribosomal RNA (1485 nucleotides) under metagenome. RNAcentral describes it as "bacterial SSU rRNA". It matches the Rfam family "Bacterial small subunit ribosomal RNA". The record is from RNAcentral.